ACUUGGAUACCGUAGUAAUUCUAGAGCUAAUACAUGCAUAAAACCCCGACUUCUGGUAGGGAUUAAAUUUUUUAUUCCCUUCCGGUAACUGGUGAAUCCUUUUAGGUUUUCGAACCGUAUUUUCAAGCGACGGUGGAUCAUUCAGGUUUCUGCCCUAUUUUCUCCCUAUGGUCUUUUAUUGGCCUACCAUGGCUUUAACAGGGUAUUUACAAUUAAGGUUCAAUUCCGGAUAGGUUCCCUGAAAGAUGGCUACAAAAUGGAAAGAAGGCCCCAGGAAGGGAAAUUGGCCAAUCCUGACCCAAGCAGGUACUGACAAGGAAUAGCAAUGAAAAACCUUCGGGGGCUGCUCUUGGAAUGAAUAUUUUUUAAAUCCCUUAUUAAAAACCUAAUGCAGGGCAAAUC
This 402-nucleotide ribosomal RNA is filed under the name uncultured picoeukaryote. Its description in RNAcentral is "bacterial SSU rRNA". It matches the Rfam family "Eukaryotic small subunit ribosomal RNA", at positions 137 to 561 of the family's 1831-position model. The record is from RNAcentral.